RNAcentral lists this ribosomal RNA (568 nucleotides) under Clostridium sp. MU02-10. RNAcentral's name for it is "bacterial SSU rRNA". It matches the Rfam family "Bacterial small subunit ribosomal RNA", at positions 30 to 607 of the family's 1533-position model. The record is from RNAcentral. Lineage: Bacteria; Bacillati; Bacillota; Clostridia; Eubacteriales; Clostridiaceae.
GCAACCUGGCGGCGUGCCUACACAUGCAAGUCGAGCGAUCUUCUUUCUUCGGGAAACGGAUUACCGGCUGGACUGGCGUGAUUAACUCACUGUGCCCUGCUGCCUCUGAUAUAAGGUGAAUGACCGUGCCUGAUGGUACAUUAUUACCUCAUAUUAUUGUAGCUUCGCAUGAUCUAACCUUUAGCGGAACAAUCCGCUCUCACAUGGGCCCGCGUCGCAGUAACUGUUUGGUGAUGUAACGGCUCACCUAAGCAACCAUCCUUAGCCGACCUGAGACGGCGAUCGGCCUCAUUGGCACUGAAACCCCCCCCAGACUCCUACAGUAGGCAAUAUUGCGCUAUGUUGCACAAUGUGAUACAGCCUCAUCCCGCGACCCCUCAUGGCUGAUGACUGCCUUCGCUUUGUCCACCUCUGACAUCAUGGCCGAUCAUGACGGUACCUGCCGAGGAAGCCACGGCUCACUACCUGCCAUCAUACGCGGGGAUACAUAGGUGGCCAGCGUUACCGGGAUUUACUGGGGCUAAAGGGAUCUUAUGCGGAUUAUUUAAUGGGAUGUGAAAUACCCGGG